AUUGAGCGCUGGCGGCAGGCCUAACACAUGCAAGUCGAGCGGAUGAAGGGAGCUUGCUCCUGGAUUCAGCGGCGGACGGGUGAGUAAUGCCUAGGAAUCUGCCUGGUAGUGGGGGAUAACGUCCGGAAACGGGCGCUAAUACCGCAUACGUCCUGAGGGAGAAAGUGGGGGAUCUUCGGACCUCACGCUAUCAGAUGAGCCUAGGUCGGAUUAGCUAGUUGGUGGGGUAAAGGCCUACCAAGGCGACGAUUCGUAACUGGUCUGAGAGGAUGAUCAGUCACACUGGAACUGAGACACGGUCCAGACUCCUACGGGAGGCAGCAGUGGGGAAUAUUGGACAAUGGGCGAAAGCCUGAUCCAGCCAUGCCGCGUGUGUGAAGAAGGUCUUCGGAUUGUAAAGCACUUUAAGUUGGGAGGAAGGGCAGUAAGUUAAUACCUUGCUGUUUUGACGUUACCAACAGAAUAAGCACCGGCUAACUUCGUG
This 484-nucleotide ribosomal RNA is filed under the name uncultured bacterium. Its description in RNAcentral is "partial 16S ribosomal RNA". It matches the Rfam family "Bacterial small subunit ribosomal RNA", at positions 30 to 507 of the family's 1533-position model. The record is from RNAcentral.